GAGGUUGAGAGUUCGAGGUCGCAUGUUGUGAGAUCGAAAGUCGUGGGGUCGAAGUUGUUCGAUGGUCGUAAGUGAAUUCGCAGGUUUGUUAGGUCGACGUUCAUUAUUCCAUGCCUUCACGUCAUCAUCCGGAUCGUCGUCUUCAUCUUCUUCAACUGUCUUCACCAUGACCAAAAUCUUCUAAUUACCAGAUACGAAAGCGCUAUUAUGGUC
RNAcentral lists this long non-coding RNA (213 nucleotides) under Brassica napus (rape). Its description in RNAcentral is "long non-coding RNA (BNAP_LNC014503)". The record is from RNAcentral. Lineage: Eukaryota; Viridiplantae; Streptophyta; Magnoliopsida; Brassicales; Brassicaceae.